Molecule: ribosomal RNA, 492 nt
Filed under: uncultured bacterium
Lineage: Bacteria
Description: partial 16S ribosomal RNA
Rfam family: Bacterial small subunit ribosomal RNA
Source: RNAcentral
AGUGAACGCUGGCGGUAGGCCUAACACAUGCAAGUCGAACGGCAGCACAGUAAGAGCUUGCUCUUACGGGUGGCGAGUGGCGGACGGGUGAGGAAUACAUCGGAAUCUACUUUUUCGUGGGGGAUAACGUAGGGAAACUUACGCUAAUACCGCAUACGACCUACGGGUGAAAGCAGGGGAUCUUCGGACCUUGCGCGAUUGAAUGAGCCGAUGUCGGAUUGGCUAGUUGGCGGGGUAAAGGCCCACCAAGGCGACGAUCCGUAGCUGGUCUGAGAGGAUGAUCAGCCACACUGGAACUGAGACACGGUCCAGACUCCUACGGGAGGCAGCAGUGGGGAAUAUUGGACAAUGGGCGCAAGCCUGAUCCAGCCAUACCGCGUGGGUGAAGAAGGCCUUCGGGUUGUAAAGCCCUUUUGUUGGGAAAGAAAAGCAGCAGGUUAAUACCCCGCUGUUCUGGCGGUACCCAAAGAAUAAGCACCGGCUAACUUCGUG